UAGGGAAUCUUCGGCAAUGGACGGAAGUCUGACCGAGCAACGCCGCGUGAGUGAAGAAGGUUUUCGGGUCGUAAAGCUCUGUUGUAAGAGAAGAACGAGCGUGAGAGUGGAAAGUUCACACUGUGACGGUAUCUUACCAGAAAGGGACGGCUAACUACGUGCCAGCAGCCGCGGUAAUACGUAGGUCCCGAGCGUUAUCCGGAUUUAUUGGGCGUAAAGCGAGCGCAGGCGGUUAGAUAAGUCUGAAGUUAAAGGCUGUGGCUUAACCAUAGUACGCUUUGGAAACUGUUUAACUUGAGUGCAAGAGGGGAGAGUGGAAUUCCAUGUGUAGCGGUGAAAUGCGUAGAUAUAUGGAGGAACACCGGUGGCGAAAGCGGCUCUCUGGCUUGUAACUGACGCUGAGGCUCGAAAGCGUGGGGAGCAAACAGGAUUAGAUACCCUGGUAGUCCACGCCGUAAACGAUGAGUGCUAGGUGUUAGACCCUUUCCGGGGUUUAGUGCCGUAGCUAACGCAUUAAGCACUCCGCCUGGGGAGUACGACCGCAAGGUUG
This 550-nucleotide ribosomal RNA is filed under the name uncultured bacterium. RNAcentral's name for it is "bacterial SSU rRNA". It matches the Rfam family "Bacterial small subunit ribosomal RNA", at positions 355 to 896 of the family's 1533-position model. The record is from RNAcentral.